CAAAAUAUUCAAUUGAAUUGAUCAUCGAUGACGGCAAUUAAAAUAUGGUAAGUAUUCGAUUUUAUUACCUACUAUCUACACUAAUGAUAUAGGUAAGUAUUGGAAAAUAAAUUUUCCUAUCAUAAACAUCACUUAAAUCUACUCCCACAAAAUUGAAUUACCUACCUACAUGCACAUUUAAACUACUUCAUGGUAUAGCAUAGCUAAGAUGGGUGGACAUUAUAUAUCCUAAUUGAAAAUAUAAAAGUAUCCGAGCAAGGGCCUAUAACGUGAAACUUUCCAUUUGCAAACAUAACAUAGCAUACUUGGCCUAUUUGUGGAAGAAUUGCAGACAUGUGUAAAAUUACAAUUUUCAUAAUCAGUUUAUUCAUCAUCUACAUUGCAGUAAUUCCAGAAAUUGAAUCUGCAGAAAGAAUGUGUGCUUCUAAUGGUAGAAAACACUCCACUAAAGAUAAGUGCUCGUGGCAAUGUUAUAUAGACUGUAAUUUUGACGACAAGUGCGGCGGAUACGUAAAAUGUAUUCCAUCAGAGGGCAGCAAGGGGAUGUUUACGUGCGUUUGUGAGAAUUAUUGAUUAUGUGCCCAUCAAGAUUCAAUUUCAAGUAUUGUGAUAGGUUAAUUUAGGCUGUAUGUAUCUAUAACAAUAAAUUCAUUGUAAACUAGAA
Long non-coding RNA from Planococcus citri (citrus mealybug), 664 nucleotides. RefSeq lists it as uncharacterized. The transcript has 2 exons. Lineage: Eukaryota; Metazoa; Arthropoda; Insecta; Hemiptera; Pseudococcidae. The record is from RefSeq and is a predicted model, not a curated record.